RNAcentral lists this ribosomal RNA (271 nucleotides) under uncultured Bacillota bacterium. RNAcentral's name for it is "uncultured Firmicutes bacterium partial 16S ribosomal RNA". It matches the Rfam family "Bacterial small subunit ribosomal RNA", at positions 73 to 339 of the family's 1533-position model. The record is from RNAcentral. Lineage: Bacteria; Bacillati; Bacillota.
AAGAAGCUUGCUUCAUGUAAUCUUAGUGGCGGACGGGUGAGUAACGUGUGGGCAACUUGUCCUUUACAGGGGAAUAAUCAUUGGAAACGAUGACUAAUACCGCAUGAAGUCGCUUUAAGGCAUCUUAGAGUGAAAAAAGGAGAAAUCCGGUAAAGGAGAGGCCCGCAUCUGAUUAGCUAGUUGGUGAGAUAAUAGCCCACCAAGGCGACGAUCAGUAGCCGACCUGAGAGGGUGAUCGGCCACAUUGGGACUGAGACACGGCCCAAACUCC